This 314-nucleotide ribosomal RNA is filed under the name uncultured bacterium. RNAcentral's name for it is "bacterial SSU rRNA". It matches the Rfam family "Archaeal small subunit ribosomal RNA", at positions 724 to 1036 of the family's 1478-position model. The record is from RNAcentral.
AGGAAAUAGAUACCCCGGUAGUCCCAGCCGUAAACGAUGCUCGCUAGGUGUCAGGCAUGGCGCGACCGUGUCUGGUGCCGCAGGGAAGCCGUGAAGCGAGCCACCUGGGAAGUACGGCCGCAAGGCUGAAACUUAAAGGGAAUUGGCGGGGAGCACAACAACGGGUGGAGCCUGCGGUUUAAUUGGACUCAACGCCGGACAACUCACCGGGGCGGACAGCAAUAUGUAGGCCAAGCUGAAGACUUUGUCCUGAAUCGCUGAGAGGAGGUGCAUGGCCGUCGCCAGUUCGUACUGUGAAGCAUCCUGUUAAGUCA